AGAAAAUGUAGGAGAGAGGCAGCCCUGGGUUCGAAUCUUCCUACCUCAUUUCUUGUUGGUGUGGCCUUGUGUCUCCUUGCAUGGGAGGCUCUUAUGGUUUGGAAGUCAGGAACCAGCACAGUGUUCAGACCUACGCUCCUGGCAUUCGACUCGUUUCAUUUUCCAGUUUCUGGGAUUAACCUCCAAGCUGCUAUGAGGAUGCUGACUUUGAAAGGCAAUCCGGUCCACAAGCUCACCUCGUGCCCAUGAAGCUUCUGCCAGUGGUGCUCAAGAAGCAGCAGCAUCCCUCCAUGUGAAGGAGGAAGGUGAAACUGAGAAACAAGACGAUUUGGAGAUUGGGGCAGAGGGGAGGCGAGGCAGCAGGCAGCAGAGAAAUCUUCUUAUGUCUAAGGCAUAAAGUACUGUGCCUGGAAAAGAACGUCGUGAUGUUCCAAGAGGGGGCCGUGCAGAGAACAAGGCAGAGCUCUUAAACACUGAAAAUAAAGGGACAAAAGUAGAAGCAGAGUAAAGGAGAGAGAGAAAAAGAACACUGAAGACAAGAUGUUGUUUAACAUUUAAGAACUGGGGGCCAGCAAGAUAGCCCAGAGGGUAAGGGAGUUUGCAGCUGAAUCUGACUACUCUCUGACUCCCUGAGCUCAGUAGCUCCACAUGCUGGGAGGAGAGAACCAACUCCAAACUGUCCUCUGACCUCCACACUCCUGCCACUUCAUGUGCACACCCACACAUGCACUAGAUAAAUAAAUACAU
Molecule: long non-coding RNA, 747 nt
Organism: Peromyscus eremicus (cactus mouse)
Lineage: Eukaryota; Metazoa; Chordata; Mammalia; Rodentia; Cricetidae
Exons: 3
Source: RefSeq, a predicted model, not a curated record